Molecule: ribosomal RNA, 437 nt
Filed under: uncultured bacterium
Lineage: Bacteria
Description: partial 16S ribosomal RNA
Rfam family: Bacterial small subunit ribosomal RNA
Source: RNAcentral
AGCGAACGCUGGCGGCAGGCUUAACACAUGCAAGUCGAGCGGGCAUCCUUGUGGUGUCAGCGGCAGACGGGUGAGUAACGCGUGGGAACGUGCCCUUCGGUUCGGAAUAACUCAGGGAAACUUGAGCUAAUACUGGAUACGUGCGAGAGCAGAAAGGUUUAUCUGCCGAAGGAUCGGCCCGCGUCUGAUUAGCUAGUUGGUGAGGUUACGGCUCACCAAGGCGACGAUCAGUAGCUGGUCUGAGAGGAUGAUCAGCCACACUGGGACUGAGACACGGCCCAGACUCCUACGGGAGGCAGCAGUGGGGAAUAUUGGACAAUGGGGGCAACCCUGAUCCAGCCAUGCCGCGUGAGUGAUGACGGCCUUAGGGUUGUAAAGCUCUUUUCUCCGGGACGAUAAUGACGGUACCGGAGGAAUAAGCCCCGGCUAACUUCGUG